RNAcentral lists this ribosomal RNA (398 nucleotides) under uncultured bacterium. Its description in RNAcentral is "partial 16S ribosomal RNA". It matches the Rfam family "Bacterial small subunit ribosomal RNA", at positions 355 to 747 of the family's 1533-position model. The record is from RNAcentral.
UGGGGAAUAUGCACAAUGGGCGCAAGCCUGAUGCAGCCAUGCCGCGUGUGUGAAGAAGGCCUUCGGGUUGUAAAGCACUUUCAGCGAGGAGGAAGGUGGUGAACUUAAUACGUUCACCAAUUGACGUUACUCGCAGAAGAAGCACCGGCUAACUCCGUGCCAGCAGCCGCGGUAAUACGGAGGGUGCAAGCGUUAAUCGGAAUUACUGGGCGUAAAGCGCACGCAGGCGGUUUGUUAAGUCAGAUGUGAAAUCCCCAGGCUCAACCUGGGAACUGCAUUUGAGACUGGCAAGCUAGAGUCUCGUAGAGGGGGUAGAAUUCCAGGUGUAGCGGUGAAAUGCGUAGAGAUCUGGAGGAAUACCGGUGGCGAAGGCGGCCCCCUGGACGAAGACUGACGCU